Molecule: transfer RNA, 85 nt
Filed under: Felis catus (domestic cat)
Lineage: Eukaryota; Metazoa; Chordata; Mammalia; Carnivora; Felidae
Rfam family: tRNA
About the family: Transfer RNA (tRNA) molecules are approximately 80 nucleotides in length.
Source: Rfam by way of RNAcentral
GCCUGGGUGGCUCAGUUGGUUAAGUGUCCGACUUCGGCUCUGGUCAUGAUCUCAUGGUUCGUGGGUUCGAACCCCACUUCGGGCU